This 286-nucleotide ribosomal RNA is filed under the name uncultured bacterium. Its description in RNAcentral is "partial 16S ribosomal RNA". It matches the Rfam family "Bacterial small subunit ribosomal RNA", at positions 30 to 313 of the family's 1533-position model. The record is from RNAcentral.
AUUGAACGCUGGCGGCAUGCCUUACACAUGCAAGUCGAACGGUAACGCGGGGGCAACCCUGGCGACGAGUGGCGAACGGGUGAGUAAUACAUCGGAACGUGUCCUGUUGUGGGGGAUAACCCAUCGAAAGGUGAGCUAAUACCGCAUGAUCUGGAGACAGCAAAGCAGGGGGACCGGAAACGGCCUUGCGCGAUUGGAGCGGCCGAUGUCCGAUUAGCUAGUUGGCGGGGUAAAGGCCCACCAAGGCAACGAUCGGUAGGGGGUCUGAGAGGAUGAUCCCCCACAC